UGACUCUGCAGGCUCUGAAACUCUGGAGCAGUACUCACUGCUGCUCUCUCUGGUUCCUCUGGUCUGUACCUAUACAGAUGGACUCAAUGAGGGACCAAACAAGCUUAUGAAUAACUCUCUUAAACUCCCCAAGAAGCCCCUAAAACUCACUCAACUAUCCAUGCAAAGCAUGCAAAAGAAAGCUGGACAGGACACUUUCGGCGGCAGGUUCGGCGGCCGAAAGUCCUCUCCAGAGACGAAACUCAAGCACCUUCGGCGGCCGAAUCUCAAUCUACGGCGGCCGAACCCUUUCGGGGGCAAGCUUCGGGGGCCAAAACUCACUCCAGAGACGAAAGUCUCACACCUUCGGCGGCACCUUCGACGGCACCUUCGGCGGCCGAAUCCCCCAAACAGAGCCGAACAUGCAAAACAGGCUGUGGCAGCCAAGCCACCAUGCAAGAGGUUCGGCGGCCGAAUGAACCUUCGGCUGCCGAACCUGAGUUCAUCCAGAACUCAGCUUCAACGGCAAACCAUCUUCUCCUUCCCUUCAACCACUCAAACCAUAUAUACUCCAACUCCUCAACACACAUAUACUCACGUAUAUGAUCACAGGGGUCCAAAACAAUAACCCCAAACAACAAAUCAAACAUAACACAGAAACAUGUAUACAUGCAUCACUCAUCAAAACCACGACUUCUCACUUAAACAUGCAGCUCUCUCCCUUAACUUCCAUAAAACCUUCAGAAAACACAUAAACAGGUUCAAGAGAAUUACUUACCUCCUGUAACAAGAAGCUGAACACUCUGAACUAAGGAAAACGGACCAACUCUCCUCAAACUCUCAAACUCGCACAAACGGAGCUUUUUGCUUCAAAACAUUCAAAACUUAGUUUGUUUUCCCUUCAAAACUUUCCACACCUGUGAAACCCUUAGCCUGAGCAGCUCAAAGCGUGCAGAUAAAGCAUGGGAGAUGUGACCAACUUCUGGACAUGAUCUGGUGAUAACACC
This 986-nucleotide long non-coding RNA is filed under the name Manihot esculenta (cassava). RNAcentral's name for it is "long non-coding RNA (MESC_LNC002360)". Lineage: Eukaryota; Viridiplantae; Streptophyta; Magnoliopsida; Malpighiales; Euphorbiaceae. The record is from RNAcentral.